GGAUCCUUCCAGCUGAACAAAGUCAGCCGCAAAACAGACUAGCCAGCAGGCUGCAAUUGGAGCCAGAGUGCCAAAGACAUGGGUUUGUUAGAGUGCUGUGCUAGAUGUCUGGUAGGGGCCCCCUUUGCUUCCCUGGUGGCCACUGGAUUGUGUUUCUUUGGAGUGGCACUGUUCUGUGGAUGUGGACAUGAAGCUCUCACUGGUACAGAAAAGUUAAUUGAGACCUAUUUCUCCAAAAACUACCAGGACUAUGAGUAUCUCAUUAAUGUGUAAGUACCUCACACCACCUCCAGACUCAUCUCUUUUUCCCUCACCCUCACCCUCACCCUCACCCUGUCUUGGAGGUAGAGCUUAUCAACUUGAAGCUACAUAGCUU
RNAcentral lists this long non-coding RNA (376 nucleotides) under Rattus norvegicus (Norway rat). RNAcentral describes it as "long non-coding RNA NONRATT030668". Lineage: Eukaryota; Metazoa; Chordata; Mammalia; Rodentia; Muridae. The record is from RNAcentral.